AGCAAACAGCCAAGUGACGUUUUUUUUACAGACACCAAUUGCUCAUAUAUUCAUUGAGUUUUUUUUAUAUAGAAAAGUAAAUAUUGUUUAAGUAAGUAACACAUACCCCAAUUAUCUUUUUGAUACCCCAAUUAUCUGCCUGGCUCAAAAAAGUCAUAUGCCUGGGUGCCAUUUACUUUUGAAUAGCAUUUAGUGAGUUUAAUAUUUUAGCUUUGUGUGGAAAUCAGAAUUGUUUUGUGAAUCCUUAAAAUACUCCUUCUGGAAACGCCUUACAGUGUGAAAAAAUAGGAGCUAGUAACUAUUAUAUUUUGGAUCGUUAGUGGUGUUUUGAGUGGAAGAAAUUUGUUUUUAAAUUUCAGAAACAAGAUUACUUGCUCCGUUUUGCCUGGAAAAAGUCUUGUAUUUUGAUUAGUUUGAGUACAGCUUGUAUUCACUGUGACCUUAAUCAAAUGGACUCAAUAGCAUAGCUCAAUAGAUGAAAAUCUUGAAUCAAUAGUUCAUCUAUUUUGGUAAUUCUAUUUUGAAACUGGGAGUACUGCAUAGAAAUAUUAAACAAAAUGAUUGCAUGGUUUGUUUAUUGAAAGUCAUUUUAUGAUUAUAAUUGACGGCUAAUGAAAAUCCAAAAUUCAGCAACAUUGUGGGCUCUGGUUUCUAAUCUUCCCCUUGUCAAAAGCUCAUAAGUUCUCAAUUGUGUUUAAGUCAGACAGGUUUGCUGGCCCACCAAGCACUGUUGAUAACAUAGUCUUCAAACCGGGUAUUUAGGUACUUCUAGCUGUAUGGGCAGUCCUGGCAACCCUGCAAGUCCUAAAAUGAAAAUCAAUUCAAUUUAUAUAGUUGGUUUAUUUAUAUAGUACAUACAUCCACAGUAGAGGUGUGCCGAUCGAUUGGCCACCGAUCAUAGUUGGCCGAUUUCCGUGAAAAACUGUAUGACUGGUGAUCGCCGAUCACUGUCUUGUGUUGCCAGUCACCAAAACCGAUCACCUGUAUCUCACUCUGCAGCCUGCAUAUUAUUUGAGGGCAGGAGGACUAAUAUUCACAUUCAGAGCACUGUUUCUGCUCCACCAGACAGUGAACUCUCCCAUUGAACGUCUGCUUAAAGCUGCAGCAUGUAACUUAAACAAACAAAAGAUUUUAAAUAUAUUAAAACUUUCGCUAUGUCCUAACAUAAGACAGUUAAUCUCUGAAAAAAACAUGGAUCUCCUCUUCCUCCUCCUGGCAUUCUGCAGAUUUACUCUGCUUGGUCAGAAACAGCCAAUCAGAACCAGCAUUAAUCAUCUAGUCAUGCUCUCAGGAAAUUUUGAUUUAGUAACUCAGGAUUGUUUAUUUUAAUGUUUCCUUUUUUACAUGACAUUAUUUGAUAUAGGCAGUGUUGUGAGAUUUACUUGACUCAUGUAUAAUUUAGGCUAAGAGCCUUACAGUUAAAAAUAAUUUUUCCUUUUGACUGAAUACCUGCUGCGUUGUGCCUACAAGUAUUUUGCACGUUUUAUGUCUAAAUUAGAUGAAUUUAUUACCAGAUGAUUUCUCAAAUAUAUCAGAUCACAAAGUAACAUUUAUACCCAACGCAAAAAAUUAACAGACAGUCCAGACGAUCAGCAAUGAUUGGUGAUCAGCAGUGAUCGGCCCUCAUGCAUAAUCGAAAUUGGAUGAUCGGAGCAUCCCUAAUUCCCAGUGAUCCUAGUUAUCAAGCAGUAUCCAAUUUUAUUCAUUUAGAAAUUCUAAGGAAACCCAGCAGACUGCCUUGACUUAGAGCAUCCACGCCUCUGGAUGAGCACAUAUCACUGGAUACUGUAUACAGUAUACACAGUGUGUCAUUUAUAUUGCAGCAGUCCCUCAUUCUGAACAUACAUGUAGCGACAGUAAAGAGGAAAAACUCACUCAGUGAAUUCAGACAUCAGCAUUUCUAUAAAGCUUCUAAGAGGAUGGUUACACAAAUUCCUGUGAAAUAUUCUUAGAGCGGACUAGUCUGAUUUAGGACUUUAUAAAACGCAGUCAACCAAAAUCAGCAGAUGACAUGGCUCUACAAAUCCUUGCCAAUUGUUGGAACUGCACAUAGAACUUGAAGCAGUGUAUAUUCUGUGCUUCUUCACUCAUCCUCCAGAUUAUGGGACCUUGAUUUCCAAAUGAAUUGCAAACUUUUAUUUAAAAAAUAAUCUUAGAGUCUUUGUUCCGUCUAGACAGUUGUAACCCAUGUGCUGGGUAUAUCGGUGUGACAUAACUCUUGACUUGACCUGGUUGAGAUGUCUUGGAAUCUCACCCAAAACUCGUGAAUGACCUGGAUCCUCCAAAAACUAGGCUUAUUCAUUUAACUUUUUCUUCCGGCCAACUUUCUAUUACCCGGUCUACAACCAGCUAUUUUAUUGAAAAUAUUUUAAGGCUUAACCUCCUUGUGGAGGGCUUGAAUGGUUGUUUGUUUGACAGCUGUCAAGUCAGCAGUCUUUUUGCUAAUUGUGUAGAUCAUAUUCCUUGUAACUUUUUUUAACUGGUGGGAUAUAAUAUUCAGAUUUUCCCUAAAACUGAAUUUUGGUUUUCUUUAGCUGUAAGCCAUAUUCUUAAAACAACUAGAAAUAAAGUUCUAUGAUAGGUCAUUCUGUGUAAACUAUGAGUUUCACUUUCUGAAUUGAAGUAUUGAAGAGGUUAAAUUAACCCCUACAAUGACAAUCUAAUUUAAUUGUAACUGUAAGGUCAUAUUUAUUUCCAUGUAGACUUGUUAACUUUGGAGCCAUGGAUACAUUUUAAUUGUCCAUUCCAAAAGUUCUCAAAACUUUUGCUUUGGAUUCUGUUUGUCCAGUGUGUGAAACAUAAGACCAAGUAGUUGGUUUCUUAAAGAUAACAGUUCUAUCCGUUAAUACUAACAUUUUAAAAUGAUUUAUUAUUGCUUAUUAUAAAAGCUAAAUUUUGCAGAGUAUGCAAGAUUUUGAACAUUGCAGAGUAUUUUAACUUUGCAUAGUUUAACACUUUGCAAAUAACAUCUAGGCUACAGUUUAGUUAUACAGUUUGACUGUGUAAUUGGUGUAUGCAGUAUUUAGAAAUGUCUGAUUUGAAUGUACAACUUAUAAAAUUAGCUUUUUGGCAUGACUGGCUUCAUAUCAAAGAGUACCCUCCAAAAACACUCCAAUAUGUCUUAAUUUCUGUUGUCAAUACAGCUGAUGAAGUGAGACAACUAAGAAAUAAUACUGUUGUAUUCCUAAUCUGCUUUGAAAACUAAUGAAAUUAAUGAAAAAAUUAUUUUAGCUAAAUAAAAUGCUAUCAGUCAAAGCAUUAAUUAAUGCAGUAGUUUUCCUAUGGCAUGCUCCUACAUGCUUAAAUAAAUCCAAAUACUGACUUUUUUUGGGCCAGGUGGUAUAUAACUAAUAAUAAUUUUGCCAAAUUGGAAACACAUUUUUCGGUCAAGGCCUAAUUUGUUGAAGCACCAAAGACCCUUCCAAAAUGUCUAGGAAAAAUGUUACAAUUGGUCUGCCUUGCAGAAGCAAAGACGUCCUUGGGGAAUUUGACUACUAACUUUGUUCCCUUGUUAUGUUGUUUUUAUAUUGGGGUUGAUCAAUGGGCUUUCUCAUCGAUGAUAUUGAGCUAAUGCUUACAGAUUUGAUAUGAUCUCAACCCUCUAAUUCUGCUCUUUCUUUUUUAACAUUUCCUCUCAAAACUAUGUAGUGUUAAACUGUACUAUUUAACCUAUUUUCUUGAUGUUUUACUAUAUGUAUAUAACAAUGCCAUUAACAAAUACUGAAAUUAUUUGUUGUACAAGUAAUAGAAUAGAAUAGAAUUACUUUAUUCAUCCCAGCAGGAUACAGCAUAGCUGUAACUGCGAAGUAUUGAUAAGCACUUGUGGUCCUCAUUUAACUUGUCCCGUUCACCUCAUUAGAGUUGGAAUUUGCAUAUCUCUUUCUACCUGUAUUUCUGAUGUCAUUAUUAGAUGGGAUAUGGGCCUGAAGUCACCCAGUUAUUCACUAAUCCAGACUCUGUGGUCGGGUGUUACCACUGACAUUGUGGCCUGUUUAGUUAGCCAGCCUGCAGUUUGGUUAACAGAUAUACUUGUUUAGACUUUUAGCAUGUCAACUUUACUUUCAAAACGAAGUGACCAGCUCAGCUAGUUUACUGAAACAUUAAAGGGAAGGGAAGUCUUUAGGUAGUCUGGCAUUUUAUUAAAGUGAUUUUAAGCAAUAUGACCGAAAAUGAUUGUUUUGAAACCAUUCCAUUUUAAAACAGUGGUAUAACUUGACACUGGUAAGAGGCCUUUACCUAGACUCAACAUACUGUCUCACAAAGCUAGUAACACUAUCAGGGUAGAGUUGGAUCUAAUUUGGUGGAACUUCAGUUUCUCUUAAUCCUUCUGAAAGUAUUGAUGACCCUGUGUCCUACCCAUGUAGAAAAUUCCAGAGUAAUUACUUGAUUACCAGGUAGCAUUCAUCACCAAUUACACAUGUAAAGAGACAAUUAUUAGUUGUCCAGUUUUUAGUACCCAAAUUAAUUGGGUCAUUUUCCGAGUAGAGUUCUUUUAAUGUUUGUAAAAAAUAAAUGGUGGUUCUAGAAUUAUGGAGGUUUUUAAGGGUUACCUUAGCUGAUUUUAAACAACACCUUUGGAGCUUAUGUUGAGUUACUAAAAUUAAUCUAGCAGUGCCAGCAUUUCUGGUAAAGACAGCACUUCAAUGAGCAAUCUACAUAGAAGGAGAUUUAGAUAUAAAGCAAUGCUGUUACAAGAUGACAACAGACUCACCAUGUAAUCGAGUUUGCAGAUUUGAAGAAAUGUUUGGGAGUUUGGGAAAGCUUGGGAGAUGCCAAGCAGACCAUGCCACACCCACAGUGAAGACAGAGGAGGAAGAAAAACUGUGAGCGGGUGGAUUUCUUCCUCUUUCUCAUUUCAACUAAAGAAACUGCAAAGGGCCGCCCCUAAGUGGAUUGGAGGUGCAGGACUUUAUUAUUUUAAGAUAUAUUUGGCGGGAAAAAUUAUAAAUGUGGUUGUGAGCCACAAUAAAGUAGAUGUGGAUUAAACCACUUAAAGUGCAUAGAAGUUGAUAUAAAUGCACUCAUGAAGUAUACUGAGUGAGAUUAUAGACUGAUAGGGUGGGUUUGACACCAUCAUGUGGCCAAAUAGGAUGACUACACCAUGGAUGCUGUCAGUCACCUCUGAGUUUCCUGUUUUCUUUUGAUUUUCAUAUGUACAAAAAUUGAAAAUGUCCCUAAAAUGUGGCAGUUUGGGCUAAAAAUUUGAAAAUUACAUCAAAUAACGAAACUUGCUUCCCCUUUAUAAUGUAUUUUUUUCAUGCUGUUUUGUUCAAGUAUAAGCGGAGAAAACAUUAAGAGCACUUAGUGUCAAAGUUUGAUUUGGUGUUAUUCAAACAAAUAAGCUCUGAUUCUUAGCAAACUUUGAAGAUCGACUAAUGCUGAUGUAUUGCACUGGUAUGAGCAAUUUCAUUAGAAUUGUGGGAGAUGCAGAUUUUUGUGUUAAAGUCAAACUUAUAAAAAUCAGAGUGAUGCAUAUGAAGAUAUGGCCAUAGAGCAGGAGUCACAACACGGUGCCCACAGGCACCCGGUCGCCCGAGGGGACGUUGUCAGUCGCCCGCAGAGCAAGUUCUAAAAAUAGUAGCUAUUGUCAUUAGGGAGCACUGCCAAAAAAAUAUUUAAUUAAAUGUUUUUACAUUGAAGUAAUAACUUUUGUUUAUAUUUAGAAUUUUAAAAAAGUCAAUUAUAAAAACGUUUAAAAUAAAUUGCUUUAUGUAUAAAGCUUUUUUCUAGGGUAAAGUUCAAAUUAUGCAAAGAUGCCUGCAGGAUAUUAUCGGAGGGCAGCAGCGCCUGCAGCUGUACGGCUCUACCCACUCUGCAUACCUUGAGAUCCUUUAAGUGAAAAAAGAAAAUAAUUUCUGGAAUUUUUAUUAUUUAACCCUCUUUACUAUUAACGAAAUUUUGGAGUAAAAAAAAGAUCUUUUGUGUCAAAAGAUAUUGUACGUACAGUACAUCUGUGUGAUUCUGUGGGGGUGGGCACACCAAAGCCUAAAUCUUAUUGGUAAGAUUGCUUUUGUUUAUUUGGCAGCUUGGCACUUUUUCUGUAAGCUUGAAAUGAACGAGCGGAGUUUGAACCUCCGGUAGUUCUUAGAGCGGUCGUUUGGAUCCCGCCAGAGUAGUUUUACCUUGUGGUCGAUUCUGACAGGUCAUUGGUUAAUGAGUUUAUUUGAUGUUUCCCGAACUGGAGAGCUGACAGGUCACCCGUUGACGGACAUCUGCUGCUCUUACUGAGCGUUGCGCUAAGACUGUGGCUUAAACUAUUUAAUCUAGUCGAAACGUUCCCCAAAAGACUAGAAAUUAAGCAAACAUUGUUGCUUCACCUUCUCCUCUGGACGUCUGACACCACCUGAACCUGGGAAUCAACAUCCUCCUGUUUCCGUGGAUCAGACAGGUAGGCUGCGCUUCCAUGUCUUUUCGGCUGCUUUUGUGGUUUAGGUUUGUGCUACGCGCACAUGAUGUGCGAUGGAGAGGUGGUUGUGCUUUUGCAGGUCAGGUGCAGUGAUGGUUUUGUGCGAUCUGUCGGACCUUUUUUUUUUCCGACAUCUGCUCAUGUUAGCCAAAUGGUGACCUGUCAGCUUUUCAGUUCGUGAAACCAUAAAAAAAGCUAAUAAACCGGCAACCCCAUCAGAACCGCGCACACUGUAAAAAGCUCAGGUUGAAUCUUAGAACUACUGGAGGUUCAAACUCUGCUCAUUCAUUUUUAGCUUACAGAAAAGGUGCCAAGCCGCCAAAUAAACAAAAGCAAACUGACCAAUAAGUUUUUCUGGUGCCCACCCCCAGAAAAACACACUGAUGUGAGCUACGUACAAGAUGUUUUGACACAAAAGAUCUUUUUUUUUCUCCACAAUUUUGUAGUAGUAAAAAGGGUUGAAUAAUAAAACAUGCAAUAACUAUUUUCUUUUUUUACUUAAAGGAAAAUCUCAAGGUACUCAUAGUGCGUACAGCCACACAGCUGCACGUGCUACUACAAUAAUCCAUACUCUGUCACACUUGUGGGCAAUUUAGAAUCACACAGAAGAGCUCCAAAAGGGAAUCAAACUUAAACUCUGAACUAAGAACUUCUGUAAUCAUAGCAUGUAAUCAUAUAUAUAUUACUGUUACAAAGGCUGAGCCAAGAAAAUUUGUCUGUAUCAUACAAGUAGCUCCCAGUCUCAAAAAGGUUGGUGACCCCUGCCAUAGAGUGUAUGAAAUGUGAUUAGGGUUCAGAAGGCAUUCUGAACAUUUGAGGUCAUUUGGAUGAGUAUAAUUUUUUUUGUUUGUUUUUUUGUUGUUUUUUUUUAAGGUUUGGAGGUCAGGUUAAGCAUUUGUCACCUUUUUGUAAAUGACGUCCUCCUUCCCCUCUUCAACCAACCAUAACAAUAUAAAAAAUGUAAGAUAAGACCUAUGGCGUGGAUGUGCAGAGUUUGGCAAUAAUCCGAUCAGUUAUUUUUGCGUAACAAAUUUCGCACACCUAGUGCUGGACCCUGACAAAAACUAGCUAGACUUGGUUGAUAUUGUGUUUUUAGUUGGAAGGGAAUUGUGGAAUAUUUUAUGGUUUCAAAAUUAUGGGCAACUUGAUUUUGAAGCUAUGUGAGUAGCAAUGUUUUCCUAGACAUAUCCUAAUUGGGCAAAAAAAAUAAA
Molecule: long non-coding RNA, 7617 nt
Organism: Xiphophorus couchianus (Monterrey platyfish)
Lineage: Eukaryota; Metazoa; Chordata; Actinopteri; Cyprinodontiformes; Poeciliidae
Exons: 2
Source: RefSeq, a predicted model, not a curated record